UUGAAGAGAGAGUUCAAGAGUACGUGAAACUGCUCAGGGGCAAACGGGUGGGCCCUCGAAGUCCGCGUGGAGAGGGAUUCAGUUCCCAGCGUCGCGGGAGGCGGAUGCCGGGGAUCUCCGAGCGAGAACCCUGCGCUGUCUCCCUUGCGCAGCAGGGGACGCACUUCUCUCUCCCAAUGGACGCCGCAGCCUCUCGGGGGUCGGCAGUGAGGACAAUGUAGGUAGGUGGCGUGGGUGCCGGUCUAGCACCGGUGCCCCGUGUCUGGCCGACAAGCGUUCCGGGCGCGACUUCCGAGAGAGGGAGUAUCGGUUCCGUUCGCGGGACCGGCCGUUGCCUCGCCAAGCGAGCGGCGUGCGGGUGCCAGAGAAGCAUCGGGCCGUCUGAUCGUGCACCGAGCGGUGGCGACGGACACGGUGUGCUCGGUGGGCCCCGCAUCCGCGGCGUAGUGCAGACGGCUUGCGGCGAGUAGGUCGGUAACCCACCCGACCCGUCUUGAAACACGGACCAAGGAGUCCAACAUGUGCGCGAGUCAGUGGGACUCGAAUAAGCCCACGGGCAGAACGAAAGUGAGAACGCCGCGAUCCUUCGCUGAUUGCGGGGCGCAGCGGCGGCCUGGGUAACCCAUACAUAUGGACCCCGGUGCCGGAGCGUACACGUUGGGACCCGAAAGAUGGUGAACUAUGCCCGGGCAGGUCGAAGCUAGAGGAAACUCUGGUGGAGGACCGCAGCGGUUCUGACGUGCAAAUCGAUCGUCGAACCUAGG
RNAcentral lists this ribosomal RNA (764 nucleotides) under Pholcus moca. RNAcentral describes it as "partial 28S ribosomal RNA". It matches the Rfam family "Eukaryotic large subunit ribosomal RNA", at positions 376 to 915 of the family's 3401-position model. The record is from RNAcentral. Lineage: Eukaryota; Metazoa; Arthropoda; Arachnida; Araneae; Pholcidae.